AACCUCCGCAAUGUGAGAAAUCGCGACGGGGGGAUCCCAAGUGCCAUUCUUAACGGGAUGGCUUUUCAUUAGUGUAAAGAGCUUUUGGAAUAAGAGCUGGGCAAGACCGGUGCCAGCCGCCGCGGUAACACCGGCAGCUCUAGUGGUAACAAUUUUUAUUGGGCCUAAAGCGUCCGUAGCCGGUUUAAUAAGUCUCUGGUGAAAUCCUGUAGCUUAACUGUGGGAAUUGCUGGAGAUACUAUUAGACUUGGGACCGGGAGAGGUUAGAGGUACUCCCAGGGUAGAGGUGAAAUUCUGUAAUCCUGGGAGGACCGCCUGUUGCGAAGGCGUCUAACUGGAACGGUUCUGACGGUGAGGGACGAAAGUUAGGGGCGCGAAACCGGAUUAGAUACCCGGGUAGUCCUAACUGUAAACGAUGCGGACUUGGUGUUGGGGCGGCUUUGAGCUGCUCCAGUGCCGAAGGGAAGCCGUUAAGUCCGCCGCCUGGGAAGUACGGUCGCAAGACUGAAACUUAAAGGAAUU
RNAcentral lists this ribosomal RNA (522 nucleotides) under uncultured bacterium. RNAcentral describes it as "bacterial SSU rRNA". It matches the Rfam family "Archaeal small subunit ribosomal RNA", at positions 345 to 866 of the family's 1478-position model. The record is from RNAcentral.